CGGGCUAGUGGCGGACGGGUGAGUAACACGUGGGUAACCUGCCUCGUAGUGGGGAAUAACUCGCCGAAAGGCGAGCUAAUACCGCAUAACACCCUCGGUGAGAAUCCGAGUGGUAAAAGCUCCGGCGCUAUGAGAGGGGCCCGCGGCCGAUUAGCUUGUUGGUGGGGUAACGGCCUACCAAGGCGACGAUCGGUAGCUGGUCUGAGAGGAUGGUCAGCCACACGGGGACUGAGAUACGGCCCCG
This 244-nucleotide ribosomal RNA is filed under the name uncultured bacterium. Its description in RNAcentral is "partial 16S ribosomal RNA". It matches the Rfam family "Bacterial small subunit ribosomal RNA", at positions 88 to 334 of the family's 1533-position model. The record is from RNAcentral.